CCUACGUGGGGCAGCAGUGAGGAAUAUUGGUCAAUGGGCGCGAGCCUGAACCAGCCAAGUCGCGUGAAGGAUGACUGCCCUACGGGUUGUAAACUUCUUUUAUAAAGGAAUAAAGUGAGGCACGUGUGCCUUUUUGUAUGUACUUUAUGAAUAAGGAUCGGCUAACUCCGUGCCAGCAGCCGCGGGAAUACGGAGGAGCCGAGCGUUAUCCGGAUUUAUUGGGUUUAAAGGGAGCGUAGAUGGGUUGUUAAGUCAGUUGUGAAAGUUUGCGGCUCAACCGUAAAAUUGCAAUUGAUACUGGCAGUCUUGAGUGCAGGUGAGGUAGGCGGAAUUCGUGGUGUAGCGGUGAAAUGCUUAGAUAUCACGAAGAACUCCGAUUGCGAAGGCAGCUUACUAAACUGCCACUGACAUUGAUGCUCGAAAGUGUGGGUAUCAAACAGGAUUAGAUACCCCAGUAGUC
RNAcentral lists this ribosomal RNA (460 nucleotides) under uncultured bacterium. RNAcentral describes it as "partial 16S ribosomal RNA". It matches the Rfam family "Bacterial small subunit ribosomal RNA", at positions 338 to 795 of the family's 1533-position model. The record is from RNAcentral.